Molecule: ribosomal RNA, 464 nt
Filed under: uncultured bacterium
Lineage: Bacteria
Description: partial 16S ribosomal RNA
Rfam family: Bacterial small subunit ribosomal RNA
Source: RNAcentral
GACGAACGCUGGCGGCGUGCUUAACACAUGCAAGUCGAACGGAAAGGCCCAGCUUGCUGGGUGCUCGAGUGGCGAACGGGUGAGUAACACGUGGGUGAUCUGCCUCUAACUUCGGGAUAAGCUUGGGAAACUGGGUCUAAUACCGGAUAGGACAAUUGUUUAGUGUCGGUUGUGGAAAGUUUUUUCGGUUAGGGAUGAGCCCGCGGCCUAUCAGCUUGUUGGUGGGGUAAUGGCCUACCAAGGCGUCGACGGGUAGCCGGCCUGAGAGGGUGGACGGCCACAUUGGGACUGAGAUACGGCCCAGACUCCUACGGGAGGCAGCAGUGGGGAAUAUUGCACAAUGGGCGCAAGCCUGAUGCAGCGACGCCGCGUGGAGGAUGACGGCCUUCGGGUUGUAAACCUCCUUCGACAGGGACGAAGCUUUGGUGACGGUACCUGUAUAAGAAGCACCGGCUAACUACGUG